UACGGUCACAUCACGUUAAAGCAUCGAUUCUCGUACAAUCAGCGAAGUUAAGCCUGAUUAGUACCUAGAUGGGUGACCGCUUGAGAAUACCAGGUGCUGUAAG
Acanthosepion pharaonis is the source of this 103-nucleotide non-coding RNA. The record is from the annotation of a GenBank genome assembly. Lineage: Eukaryota; Metazoa; Mollusca; Cephalopoda; Sepiida; Sepiidae.